GACGAACGCUGGCGGCGUGCUUAACACAUGCAAGUCGAACGGAAAGGCCCUGCUUUUGUGGGGUGCUCGAGUGGCGAACGGGUGAGUAACACGUGAGUAACCUGCCCUUGACUUUGGGAUAACUUCAGGAAACUGGGGCUAAUACCGGAUAGGAGCUCCUGCUGCAUGGUGGGGGUUGGAAAGUUUCGGCGGUUGGGGAUGGACUCGCGGCUUAUCAGCUUGUUGGUGGGGUAGUGGCUUACCAAGGCUUUGACGGGUAGCCGGCCUGAGAGGGUGACCGGCCACAUUGGGACGGAGAUACGGCCCAGACUCCUACGGGAGGAAGGAGUGGGGAAUAUUGCACAAUGGGCGGAAGCCGGAUGCAGCAACGCCGCGUGCGGGAUGACGGCCUUCGGGUUGUAAACCGCUUUCGCCUGUGACGAAGCGUGAGUGACGGUAAUGGGGAAAGAAGCACCGGCUAACUACGU
RNAcentral lists this ribosomal RNA (467 nucleotides) under uncultured bacterium. Its description in RNAcentral is "partial 16S ribosomal RNA". It matches the Rfam family "Bacterial small subunit ribosomal RNA", at positions 28 to 506 of the family's 1533-position model. The record is from RNAcentral.